GCCCGCCCCCACCACGGCCGGUGCUUCCUGCCCUCCUGCCGGGGCGUGGGGAGCGCAGCGGGGCAGCCGGCCACAAAGCGAGCAGAACUGGGCAAGUACCCCGCGGUCGCAUCGUCUCUACGGGCAGCACCGCGCAGAGGCAAAAAGUCGGCUCCGAGAAAGGCCACCAUUACACCGCCGCCACGGACCGGAGCUCGGCAGCGAGGGGGCUGCGGUGGUUCAGCCCCAAUAUUUCCAGAGGAAUCAAGACACCUCCGAUCUCCAGAAAUUCAGUAAGGUAUCCAUGGCUGAAAGAACAAGGGGAACAAGGCCAGAAAUGUCACUUGCCUUGGAGCCCAUCUUCCUCUGCCAGCAUGCCAUGUCCUGGGAGCCAUUACCUCCCAUCUCACUGCAGUGGUAGAGGUCUGAACUGCAUACUGUCUCUGCAGAAAAGCAUGGACUGUCCUCUUACAGGCAGGCAGAUGCAGCACACUCAUCCAAAUGUGAGAAAAACCACUAAUUCUAGGUUCCUGAGAGACGGGUUACAUGACUUUCCAUUCAGUUCCAUCUUUCGAUAGCCAGGUUGUUUUUUAAACCUGCAGAAUGCUUGGAUGUGGAUAUCUCUGUACACAAGUUUAUUCUUUAAACAAAUUUUCUGAAGAGAACUUGCCCAUUCUUUCCAUCUCAGCACCACACAGCACCUCCAGCUGUCCAAGGAAACAGAGGCAUCAUCCUGAGCCACACUGUUAGGUGAGCCAGAAACAAGCUGGCUCCCUGGGAACUCCAGCUCCAGCUCUGCUUCUGCCAUGCUUUUAAUGAAGCUGUACAGGAUGCAACUUUGAGCAACUUUUUGGGCACUAUCCCAUUCCUGCAAGAAAAACAUGAUGGCUAAUGGCUUCCUGCUCUUUGAUGCAUCUCUUCUGCCUAGAGAAAAAUGAGAAAGAAGUUUAAAAAGGUCUGUGAAGAAAGACUAAUGAAUUACUACUAGAAUCACAUUUAAAAUCUCUGGCAAAUAAUAUUAAAGCACUUGGUAACUAUUUAAUCUUUAAUUAUUAUAUUAAAACAAUUUUCUCUUAUUUCAUAGAUAGGAAAACCGGCAAAAGGAGAGUUCCUGAUAUGUCUGAAUCUGCACAAUGAAUCUGUGACAGACUUGAGAUUAUUUUCCUGGGCAGGUGGUUUCACCACAGGAGCUCUCUUCUCUGCUCUGCUAAUAAAGUAAUUUUGAUGUUACCCAUUA
Molecule: long non-coding RNA, 1216 nt
Organism: Catharus ustulatus (Swainson's thrush)
Lineage: Eukaryota; Metazoa; Chordata; Aves; Passeriformes; Turdidae
Exons: 2
Source: RefSeq, a predicted model, not a curated record